GAAAAACUCACUCUCUCAAGUUCUCUCCCUAACCAUUAUAGAGUGAUUCAAAGCUUUUGCACGGUGGAAUUGAGGGUGAUAAUUGAAGCUUUUAGUAUCACUCCAUCACAAGAGAUUGUUGUUGUUCUAGUACGUGAUUUGGGGUUCGUGAUUCAUCAACCAAAAAUCCGGUUCGGUUAAAGUUCGCGAGAGGUCCUGCUAGCUUCAUAUCAAUGGGAAAGGGGAUAAAAGAUGGAGCUUUGGAGAUAAUAUGAAGAGGGGGAGGUCGGAUAAUUUGGCCAUGGUUCAAGUUGGUGUGGCAUUACCCGCAGGGCGCGAGCCGGAAUUUGUGAGUAGUGAGAAGAAAGAUGAUUAUAAGGAACGGGAAUCAAGUAAAGAUCAUGCUCUCUUCGUACAGUCAAACCAAAUCUCUCUUCCAUGUCUAGUUCUUCUGCCUUCAUUCCUUUGGGGAGUUUCCAGUCGAAAUGGUACAAAAGCUGUGCAAGUGGAAGCUCCAUAUUAGGAAG
This is a long non-coding RNA of Rhododendron vialii, 506 nucleotides long. RefSeq lists it as uncharacterized. The transcript has 3 exons. Lineage: Eukaryota; Viridiplantae; Streptophyta; Magnoliopsida; Ericales; Ericaceae. The record is from RefSeq and is a predicted model, not a curated record.